CUCCAAUAUUGGAAGCUAGAUUAACAAACAAUAUCCCAGCCAGUUAAGUGCCAUUACUUUUAGUUUCCAUAGAAUUUGUUUUAUAGUUAAAAUCUUCUUUCUUACCUCUUAAGUUUUUUUUCCCUUAUUAGAUCUACGGUCUACUUUCUUAAUAACUGCAGGCGUAUGGGGAAGACACAGCGGUGGGGAAUUCAAAGGAAAUAUGGAUCCAUGUUUUGACCAAAAUGGUCUGCCUAGCUAUUUAAUUUGUAGAUAUUGCUUUAUAAUUGGCGCUAAAUCUCCAGCUCUAGUUUCUAAUUAAGAGAUAAGGACUUUGAUCAUGAGUAGCAUGAGCAAGAUGCUUGAUUCACAGGGCCUCUAUUAUCCUCUUGAUUUUACUCUUAAUUUCAGUUGAAACGACUCCAGUAUUAUUGGAAGCCGAAGCGAACAUCCCAGCCAAUCAAGUAGUACCAAAGACGACAAGAUUCCACGGCAAGUUUGGAGACAAUAAAAUCGGUGGUGGCCAACAUCAUUCUCCAAGUGCCAGACAGUUCAAUUAUGUGCCACCGCCUCUGGCCGCUCGUCUCAUGUGAAAGCCAUGCCAUUAGCCAUAUAUGUUCCCUUUCUUUUUUGGCGGGGUUUUUGAGUAUUAUAUAUCUAUCUAUUACUAUAUAUAAAAGCCAAGUUCGACAUU
This is a long non-coding RNA of Juglans microcarpa x Juglans regia, 673 nucleotides long. RefSeq lists it as uncharacterized. The transcript has 2 exons. NCBI's taxonomy places the organism in Eukaryota, Viridiplantae, Streptophyta, Magnoliopsida, Fagales, Juglandaceae. The record is from RefSeq and is a predicted model, not a curated record.